GACAGAGGGGGCAAGCGUUGCUCGGAAUUACUGGGCGUAAAGCGCACGUAGGCGGAUAUUUAAGUCAGGGGUGAAAUCCCAGAGCUCAACUCUGGAACUGCCUUUGAUACUGGGUAUCUUGAGUAUGGAAGAGGUUAGUGGAAUUGCGAGUGUAGAGGUGAAAUUCGUAGAUAUUCGCAGGAACACCAGUGGCGAAGGCGGCUAACUGGUCCAUAACUGACGCUGAGGUGCGAAAGCGUGGGGAGCAAACAGG
This 253-nucleotide ribosomal RNA is filed under the name uncultured bacterium. RNAcentral's name for it is "partial 16S ribosomal RNA". It matches the Rfam family "Bacterial small subunit ribosomal RNA", at positions 524 to 776 of the family's 1533-position model. The record is from RNAcentral.